GUGGUUAAGAAGAAAAGGGCGCACGGUGGAUGCCUUGGCACUAGGAGCCGAUGAAGGACGCGACGAACGGCGAAACGCUCCGGGGAGCUGUACGUAAGCUUUGAUCCGGAGAU
This 113-nucleotide ribosomal RNA is filed under the name Marinococcus halophilus. Its description in RNAcentral is "partial 23S ribosomal RNA". It matches the Rfam family "Bacterial large subunit ribosomal RNA", at positions 1 to 111 of the family's 2925-position model. The record is from RNAcentral. Lineage: Bacteria; Bacillati; Bacillota; Bacilli; Caryophanales; Bacillaceae.